AUUGAACGCUGGCGGCAUGCCUUACACAUGCAAGUCGAACGGUAACAGGUCUUCGGAUGCUGACGAGUGGCGAACGGGUGAGUAAUACAUCGGAACGUGUCUAGUAGUGGGGGAUAACUACUCGAAAGAGUGGCUAAUACCGCAUGAGAUCUACGGAUGAAAGCAGGGGAUCGCAAGCCCUUGUGCUACUAGAGCGGCCGAUGGCAGAUUAGGUAGUUGGUGGGAUAAAAGCUUACCAAGCCGACGAUCUGUAGCUGGUCUGAGAGGACGAUCAGCCACACUGGGAGUGAGACACGGCCCAGACUCCUACGGGAGGCAGCAGUGGGGAAUUUUGGACAAUGGGCGAAAGCCCGAUCCAGCAAUGCCGCGUGCAGGAUGAAGGCCUUCGGGUUGUAAACUGCUUUUGUACGGAACGAAAAGCCCCGGGUUAAUACCCUGGGGUCAUGACGGUACCGUAAGAAUAAGCACCGGCUAACUACGUGCCAGCCGCCGCGGUAA
RNAcentral lists this ribosomal RNA (498 nucleotides) under uncultured bacterium. RNAcentral describes it as "partial 16S ribosomal RNA". It matches the Rfam family "Bacterial small subunit ribosomal RNA", at positions 30 to 523 of the family's 1533-position model. The record is from RNAcentral.